RNAcentral lists this ribosomal RNA (211 nucleotides) under Serratia marcescens subsp. marcescens ATCC 13880. Its description in RNAcentral is "partial 23S ribosomal RNA". It matches the Rfam family "Bacterial large subunit ribosomal RNA", at positions 1 to 203 of the family's 2925-position model. The record is from RNAcentral. Lineage: Bacteria; Pseudomonadati; Pseudomonadota; Gammaproteobacteria; Enterobacterales; Yersiniaceae.
GGGUUGUGAGGUUAAGUGACUAAGCGUACACGGUGGAUGCCUAGGCAGUCAGAGGCGAUGAAGGGCGUGCUAAUCUGCGAAAAGCGUCGGUAAGGUGAUAUGAACCGUUAUAACCGGCGAUACCCGAAUGGGGAAACCCAGUGUGUUUCGACACAUUAUCAUGUCAUGAAUACAUAGUGGCAUGAGGCGAACCGGGGGAACUGAAACAUCU